CCAUUUUAAAUUAUUGAUAAAAUAAUUUAUUAAGAAUAUUAUAAAAUAAUAAGAAAUUUUAAUAAAAAUUAAUUAAAAUUAUAUAAAAUUAUAAUAUAUAGUACUGUUAAGGAAAUAUGAAAUAUUUUUAAAAAUUAAAUAAAAAGAAGAAAAUAUAAUUUACCUUUUGUAUUAGGGUUUAAUAAUAAAUAUUAAAUAUAUUAAAAUUCUUGAAGUUAAGUGAGCUAUUAAUAUUAUAAUAAUAUUGUUUCAAUAAUUUAUAAAAAUAAUUAUAGAGAUGAAAUUUCAAACACAUUUAAUGAUAUCUAGUUAUAAUAAAAUAAUUUUAGAUUAGUUUAUAUUAGUUAUAUAAUAUUAUAUAAUAUAAAUUAUUAUAUUAGGGAUAAGCUUAAUAUAAAUUUUUAAAAAUAAUUAAUAUAAAAAAUUAUAGCUUAAAAUUAGUUAUUAUUUGUAAUAAAAUAUUUAUGAUCAUUAAUUAAAUAAAAUAAUUAUAAAAAUUUUAUUAAUAAAAUUUAAAGGAUAAAAUAUUAAGAUAAGUAUAAGAUAUAUUAUAUAUGAUAUUUAUAUAAAAUUUAUAAUUAUAUAAUUUAAUAUUAGGAAUUCAGCAAUUUAAUUUUUUGAAUGUUUAUCAAAAACAUUUUAUUUUGGGAUUAUUAAAUAUAUUUUCUGCUCAAUGAUUAAUUUAAAUUGCCGUAGUAUUUUGACUAUGCAAAGGUAUUGAAAUAAGAUUUUAAAUGAGUGCUAAGAGAAUGAUAGAACAAAGAAUUACUUUCUAAAUUUAAAUAAUAUAAAUUUAUUUUAAAAUGAAAAAGUUUUAAUAGAUUAUUGGGACAAGAAGACCCUAUGAAUUUUUAUAAUUAUAUUAUUAUUAUAAAUUUUAUAAAAAGGAAUAUAAUAUAAUUAUUUAAUUGGGGUGAUUAAUAAAGAUUGAUAAUCUUUAGUUAUAUAAUAAGAGAUCCAUUAAUAAUGAAAAUAUGAUUAAAAUACUCUAGGGAUAACAGCAUAAUGAUUUUAGAUAGUUCAUAUUGAUAAAAUAGUUUAUGACCUCGAUGUUGGAUUAAAGUUCUUUAAUGAAGUAGAAAUUAUUUGUAAGAAGUUUGUUCAACUUUUAAAUCUUUACAUGAUCUGAGUUCAGACCGGCGUAAGCCAGGUUGGUUUAUAUCUAAUUAUAUAUAAUUUUAUUUUAGUACGAAAGGAAUUAAUAAAGAUAAUUAUUAUUUUAAAUUAUUAAAUGAUUACA
RNAcentral lists this ribosomal RNA (1240 nucleotides) under Allothyrus sp. LamingtonNP-QMS95173. RNAcentral's name for it is "16S ribosomal RNA". Lineage: Eukaryota; Metazoa; Arthropoda; Arachnida; Holothyrida; Allothyridae. The record is from RNAcentral.